RNAcentral lists this ribosomal RNA (498 nucleotides) under uncultured bacterium. RNAcentral's name for it is "partial 16S ribosomal RNA". It matches the Rfam family "Bacterial small subunit ribosomal RNA", at positions 28 to 508 of the family's 1533-position model. The record is from RNAcentral.
GAUGAACGCUGGCGGCGUGCCUAAUACAUGCAAGUCGAGCGAACAGACGAGGAGCUUGCUCCUCUGACGUUAGCGGCGGACGGGUGAGUAACACGUGGAUAACCUACCUAUAAGACUGGGAUAACUUCGGGAAACCGGAGCUAAUACCGGAUAAUAUAUUGAACCGCAUGGUUCAAUAGUGAAAGACGGUUUUGCUGUCACUUAUAGAUGGAUCCGCGCCGCAUUAGCUAGUUGGUAAGGUAACAGCUUACCAAGGCAACGAUGCGUAGCCGACCUGAGAGGGUGAUCGGCCACACUGGAACUGAGACACGGUCCAGACUCCUACGGGAGGCAGCAGUAGGGAAUCUUCCGCAAUGGGCGAAAGCCUGACGGAGCAACGCCGCGUGAGUGAUGAAGGUCUUCGGAUCGUAAAACUCUGUUAUUAGGGAAGAACAAAUGUGUAAGUAACUAUGCACGUCUUGACGGUACCUAAUCAGAAAGCCACGGCUAACUACGUGC